RNAcentral lists this ribosomal RNA (497 nucleotides) under uncultured bacterium. RNAcentral's name for it is "partial 16S ribosomal RNA". It matches the Rfam family "Bacterial small subunit ribosomal RNA", at positions 28 to 507 of the family's 1533-position model. The record is from RNAcentral.
GAUGAACGCUGGCGGCGUGCCUAAUACAUGCAAGUCGAGCGAACGGACGAGAAGCUUGCUUUUCUGAUGUUAGCGGCGGACGGGUGAGUAACACGUGGAUAACCUACCUAUAAGACUGGGAUAACUUCGGGAAACCGGAGCUAAUACCGGAUAAUAUUUUGAACCGCAUGGUUCAAAAGUGAAAGACGGUCUUGCUGUCACUUAUAGAUGUAUCCGCGCUGCAUUAGCUAGUUGGUAAGGUAACGGCUUACCAAGGCAACGAUGCAUAGCCGACCUGAGAGGGUGAUCGGCCACACUGGAACUGAGACACGGUCCAGACUCCGAAGGGAGGCAGCAGUAGGGAAUCUUCCGCAAUGGGCGAAAGCCUGACGGAGCAACGCCGCGUGAGUGAUGAAGGUCUUCGGAUCGUAAAACUCUGUUAUUAGGGAAGAACAUAUGUGUAAGUAACUGUGCACAUCUUGACGGUACCUAAUCAGAAAGCCACGGCUAACUACGUG